GCAACGGUGGUUCAGUGGUGGAAUUCUAGCCUUCCAUGCAGGAGACCCAGGUUCAAUUCCCUGCCAAGGCA
RNAcentral lists this transfer RNA (71 nucleotides) under Loxodonta africana (African savanna elephant). It matches the Rfam family "tRNA". Rfam says of the family: Transfer RNA (tRNA) molecules are approximately 80 nucleotides in length. Their secondary structure includes four short double-helical elements and three loops (D, anti-codon, and T loops). Further hydrogen bonds mediate the characteristic L-shaped molecular structure. tRNAs have two regions of fundamental functional importance: the anti-codon, which is responsible for specific mRNA codon recognition, and the 3' end, to which the tRNAs corresponding amino acid is attached (by aminoacyl-tRNA synthetases). tRNAs cope with the degeneracy of the genetic code in two manners: having more than one tRNA (with a specific anti-codon) for a particular amino acid; and 'wobble' base-pairing, i.e. permitting non-standard base-pairing at the 3rd anti-codon position. Lineage: Eukaryota; Metazoa; Chordata; Mammalia; Proboscidea; Elephantidae. The record is from Rfam by way of RNAcentral.